Molecule: ribosomal RNA, 466 nt
Filed under: uncultured bacterium
Lineage: Bacteria
Description: partial 16S ribosomal RNA
Rfam family: Bacterial small subunit ribosomal RNA
Source: RNAcentral
GAUGAACGCUGGCGGCGUGCUUAACACAUGCAAGUCGAACGAUGAAGCCCAGCUUGCUGGGUGGAUUAGUGGCGAACGGGUGAGUAACACGUGAGUAACCUGCCCUUGACUCUGGGAUAAGCCUGGGAAACUGGGUCUAAUACUGGAUAUGACUUCUCAUCGCAUGGUGGGGGGUGGAAAGAUUUAUUGGUCUUGGAUGGACUCGCGGCCUAUCAGCUUGUUGGUGGGGUAUUGGCUCACCAAGGCGACGACGGGUAGCCGGCCUGAGAGGGUGACCGGCCACACUGGGACUGAGACACGGCCCAGACUCCUACGGGAGGCAGCAGGGGGGAAUAUUGCACAAUGGGCGGAAGCCUGAUGCAGCAACGCCGCGUGAGGGAUGACGGCCUUCGGGUUGUAAACCGCUUUCGGUAGGGAAGAAGCGAGAGUGACGGUACCUGCAGAAGAAGCGCCGGCUAACUACGUG